This 250-nucleotide long non-coding RNA is filed under the name Lathyrus oleraceus (garden pea). Its description in RNAcentral is "Pisum sativum (pea) long non-coding RNA (PSAT_LNC004490)". Lineage: Eukaryota; Viridiplantae; Streptophyta; Magnoliopsida; Fabales; Fabaceae. The record is from RNAcentral.
ACAAGGUGAUCGCAAGGAUCUAACCCACAAAAUCGACAAAAUAAAAGAAAAAAAAGAAACUGGUUACAUCAUCAGCUUAACUAUAUGAGUUCUAAGUUUCUCAUUAUACCACCCUCUAUAUACUAUCAUAUUAAUAAUAUUAUCAACUGUUUUGGUAUUAUCUACAUUGUCAUCAAAACAUUUAUUGUUUUGGUACUGCCAAAUCACAUAGAUUGUCUCUGUAGCGGCUAGCUUUAAGAUGGACGCCCUC